GGGUUGUGAGGUUAAGCGACUAAGCGUACACGGUGGAUGCCCUGGCAGUCAGAGGCGAUGAAGGACGUGCUAAUCUGCGAUAAGCGUCGGUAAGGUGAUAUGAACCGUUAUAACCGGCGAUUUCCGAAUGGGGAAACCCAGUGUGAUUCGUCACACUAUCAUUAACUGAAUCCAUAGGUUAAUGAGGCGAACCGGGGGAACUGAAACAUCUAAGUACCCCGAGGAAAAGAAAUCAACCGAGAUUCCCCCAGUAGCGGCGAGCGAACGGGGAGCAGCCCAGAGCCUGAAUCAGUGUGUGUGUUAGUGGAAGCGUCUGGAAAGGCGCGCGAUACAGGGUGACAGCCCCGUACACAAAAAUGCACAUGCUGUGAGCUCGAUGAGUAGGGCGGGACACGUGGUAUCCUGUCUGAAUAUGGGGGGACCAUCCUCCAAGGCUAAAUACUCCUGACUGACCGAUAGUGAACCAGUACCGUGAGGGAAAGGCGAAAAGAACCCCGGCGAGGGGAGUGAAAAAGAACCUGAAACCGUGUACGUACAAGCAGUGGGAGCACGCUUAGGCGUGUGACUGCGUACCUUUUGUAUAAUGGGUCAGCGACUUAUAUUCUGUAGCAAGGUUAACCGAAUAGGGGAGCCGAAGGGAAACCGAGUCUUAACUGGGCGUUAAGUUGCAGGGUAUAGACCCGAAACCCGGUGAUCUAGCCAUGGGCAGGUUGAAGGUUGGGUAACACUAACUGGAGGACCGAACCGACUAAUGUUGAAAAAUUAGCGGAUGACUUGUGGCUGGGGGUGAAAGGCCAAUCAAACCGGGAGAUAGCUGGUUCUCCCCGAAAGCUAUUUAGGUAGCGCCUCGUGAAUUCAUCUCCGGGGGUAGAGCACUGUUUCGGCAAGGGGGUCAUCCCGACUUACCAACCCGAUGCAAACUGCGAAUACCGGAGAAUGUUAUCACGGGAGACACACGGCGGGUGCUAACGUCCGUCGUGAAGAGGGAAACAACCCAGACCGCCAGCUAAGGUCCCAAAGUCAUGGUUAAGUGGGAAACGAUGUGGGAAGGCCCAGACAGCCAGGAUGUUGGCUUAGAAGCAGCCAUCAUUUAAAGAAAGCGUAAUAGCUCACUGGUCGAGUCGGCCUGCGCGGAAGAUGUAACGGGGCUAAACCAUGCACCGAAGCUGCGGCAGCGACGCUGAUGCGUUGUUGGGUAGGGGAGCGUUCUGUAAGCCUGUGAAGGUGUGCUGUGAGGCAUGCUGGAGGUAUCAGAAGUGCGAAUGCUGACAUAAGUAACGAUAAAGCGGGUGAAAAGCCCGCUCGCCGGAAGACCAAGGGUUCCUGUCCAACGUUAAUCGGGGCAGGGUGAGUCGACCCCUAAGGCGAGGCCGAAAGGCGUAGUCGAUGGGAAACAGGUUAAUAUUCCUGUACUUGGUGUUACUGCGAAGGGGGGACGGAGAAGGCUAUGUUGGCCGGGCGACGGUUGUCCCGGUUUAAGCGUGUAGGCUGGUUUUCCAGGCAAAUCCGGAAAAUCAAGGCUGAGGCGUGAUGACGAGGCACUACGGUGCUGAAGCAACAAAUGCCCUGCUUCCAGGAAAAGCCUCUAAGCAUCAGGUAACAUCAAAUCGUACCCCAAACCGACACAGGUGGUCAGGUAGAGAAUACCAAGGCGCUUGAGAGAACUCGGGUGAAGGAACUAGGCAAAAUGGUGCCGUAACUUCGGGAGAAGGCACGCUGAUAUGUAGGUGAAGUCCCUCGCGGAUGGAGCUGAAAUCAGUCGAAGAUACCAGCUGGCUGCAACUGUUUAUUAAAAACACAGCACUGUGCAAACACGAAAGUGGACGUAUACGGUGUGACGCCUGCCCGGUGCCGGAAGGUUAAUUGAUGGGGUCAGCGCAAGCGAAGCUCUUGAUCGAAGCCCCGGUAAACGGCGGCCGUAACUAUAACGGUCCUAAGGUAGCGAAAUUCCUUGUCGGGUAAGUUCCGACCUGCACGAAUGGCGUAAUGAUGGCCAGGCUGUCUCCACCCGAGACUCAGUGAAAUUGAACUCGCUGUGAAGAUGCAGUGUACCCGCGGCAAGACGGAAAGACCCCGUGAACCUUUACUAUAGCUUGACACUGAACAUUGAGCCUUGAUGUGUAGGAUAGGUGGGAGGCUUUGAAGUGUGGACGCCAGUCUGCAUGGAGCCGGCCUUGAAAUACCACCCUUUAAUGUUU
This 2198-nucleotide ribosomal RNA is filed under the name Escherichia coli. RNAcentral describes it as "partial 23S ribosomal RNA". It matches the Rfam family "Bacterial large subunit ribosomal RNA", at positions 1 to 2215 of the family's 2925-position model. Lineage: Bacteria; Pseudomonadati; Pseudomonadota; Gammaproteobacteria; Enterobacterales; Enterobacteriaceae. The record is from RNAcentral.